This 239-nucleotide ribosomal RNA is filed under the name uncultured bacterium. RNAcentral's name for it is "partial 16S ribosomal RNA". It matches the Rfam family "Bacterial small subunit ribosomal RNA", at positions 1265 to 1500 of the family's 1533-position model. The record is from RNAcentral.
GAGCAAAUACUCAAAAAGACCGUCCCACGUUCGGAUUGCAGGCUGCAACCCGCCUGCAUGAAGUUGGAAUCGCUAGUAAUCGCGGAUCAGCAUGCCGCGGUGAAUACGUUCCCGGGCCUUGUACACACCGCCCGUCACACCAUGGGAGCCGGUAAUAUCCGAAGUCAGUAGUUUAACCCUUGUGGAGGACGCUGCCGAAGGUAGGAUUGGCGACUGGGGUGAAGUCGUAACAAGGUAUC